GACGAACGCUGGCGGCGUGCUUAACACAUGCAAGUCGAGCGGUAAGGCCCUUUCGGGGGUACGACGAGCGGCGAACGGGUGAGUAACACGUGGGUGACCUGCCCUCAGCUCUGGGAUAAGCCUGGGAAACCGGGUCUAAUACUGGAUAUGACUCCAUGACGCAUGUUGUGGGGUGAAAGCCUUGUGCGGCUGAGGAUGGGCCCGCGGCCUAUCAGC
RNAcentral lists this ribosomal RNA (216 nucleotides) under uncultured bacterium. RNAcentral describes it as "partial 16S ribosomal RNA". It matches the Rfam family "Bacterial small subunit ribosomal RNA", at positions 28 to 245 of the family's 1533-position model. The record is from RNAcentral.